RNAcentral lists this non-coding RNA (46 nucleotides) under Trichobilharzia regenti. Lineage: Eukaryota; Metazoa; Platyhelminthes; Trematoda; Strigeidida; Schistosomatidae. The record is from RNAcentral.
GUACUGCUGAAGUGUCCCAAACUAGGACGAGACAGCUGUCCAGUAC